UACUCCUACGGGAGGCAGCAGUGGGGAAUAUUGCACAAUGGGCGCAAGCCUGAUGCAGCCAUGCCGCGUGUAUGAAGAAAGCCUUCGGGUUGUAAAGUACUUUCAGCGGGGAGGAAGGGAGUAAAGUUAAUACCUUUGCUCAUUGACGUUACCCGCAGAAGAAGCACCGGCUAACUCCGUGCCAGCAGCCGCGGUAAUACGGAGGGUGCAAGCGUUAAUCGGAAUUACUGGGCGUAAAGCGCACGCAGGCGGUUUGUUAAGUCAGAUGUGAAAUCCCCGGGCUCAACCUGGGAACUGCAUCUGAUACUGGCAAGCUUGAGUCUCGUAGAGGGGGGUAGAAUUCCAGGUGUAGCGGUGAAAUGCGUAGAGAUCUGGAGGAAUACCGGUGGCGAAGGCGGCCCCCUGGACGAAGACUGACGCUCAGGUGCGAAAGCGUGGGGAGCAAACAGGAUUAGAUACCCCAGUAGUCCGAAACCUUCCUUUUUUU
Molecule: ribosomal RNA, 487 nt
Filed under: Shigella flexneri
Lineage: Bacteria; Pseudomonadati; Pseudomonadota; Gammaproteobacteria; Enterobacterales; Enterobacteriaceae
Description: bacterial SSU rRNA
Rfam family: Bacterial small subunit ribosomal RNA
Source: RNAcentral